Molecule: long non-coding RNA, 3438 nt
Organism: Myxocyprinus asiaticus (Chinese sucker)
Lineage: Eukaryota; Metazoa; Chordata; Actinopteri; Cypriniformes; Catostomidae
Exons: 4
Source: RefSeq, a predicted model, not a curated record
GUUCGCGAUCGCAUCAUUAUCAUUAUAAACAUCUUAAAAUCAGUUUGUAUGGUUAGAAAUAUACAGUUUGUUCCCUAUUACAUCUGCUGUGAAGUGUGAUGUGACAUUUUUCUAAAAAUACAGCAUUAAAUACAUUGCAUUAAAUAACUCACGCUGAGAGGAUCAGUCAGUUCUGAAGGUACUCACGUGCGAAAGCGUUUGGUUUCACACAUGCUAAGAUAUGUAAUCAUUUGUGUGACUGUGUGUACCGUACCGAAGGCCCUGUAUCCGUUUGGUUCGGUACGGAUACUGUACAUGUACCGUUGGAGCCCUAGAGCACAGGCACUUCUCAUAGGCUAAUAGUCCCAGCUUUUCGCGUCCUUUCGAAGGACAUUUUUUGAGGCAUCUUUGAAACCUCCCCAACAUAUCUUCUGUUAAAAAGGAUCAUCUUGCUCAGCUUUAGUUGUGUGAGAAAUGAUUAUUUGUGUUCUGAUGCUUCUUUACUCAGUUCCAUGUUGGCAGAUUCUGCACUUUUCUGUAGAUGAUUGUUUAGCUUUAGGAUAUCUUGAGUAAGAGGUAAUUUGGUUGGUUUGUUGUAUUUUGCAUCACUGAUGGUGCAUAAUGCUAUAUGAGAUAUGUAUUCUGACCACUUUGCUUUAUACAGCUUCUGAACAGUGAUGAAAAACUGACUAAAUUUCCAUACUUAGGUAAAAGUACAGAUAUCACACCAAUAUAUUACUUAAGUAAAAGUCAUCCAUUAGAAUACUACACUAUGCAAUAUUUGUGUUAAAAAUGAACAAAAUUAGAUUUUUGAACAAGUACAUAAAGAAACAGUUCAAAACUAUGUACCCUUGAUUCACUACAUUAAGCCUACAAUAGGUAUUGCUAUUUUGAGCUGUCGGGUUCGAUUUGGCGUGGAAUAUCAUGCUGACAUCAUUCGUCCUUGCGUAGUAAUGUCAUAUCCAGAAAAACAAAGAGGUAGUUCCGACAGUUGUGUCUGGAAACUUGUGCACUGUAAAUGCUGACUGCCUGACCUGGGAGAUGCGUUCUCUGUUCAGUCACUCACAGUUCAACAUGGUGGGAGAGGCCAGUAGUCUCGAUACAACAGUGAUUUUUUAACACUCAUGAGUAUGUUAAUUGCCAUUCAGGGUGAAGAAUUGUCACUGCAUCUUUAGUGUUUCAACCCUUCAUAUCCAUCUCUAUGUUAACUCUACUGAUCUUCACCAGUAUUCUGAUCUCCAUCACUAUUCUCACUAUCUCCCUGCAUUUCAACACUAUUCAGCUCUUCCUCAUCAUCUUCCUCACUGCACUCACUCUCAUUACUUGAAGAACCUGAUGGUAUGGCUCUCUAAAAAUAGAAAGCAGAACCAUUUUCCAUGUGAUUUUGUUUUUUUCUGUAUUUGCAUUGUGGUUUCUGUGUGUAAUCAUGUUUUGUUCAUGUGACUAUCUUUUAUGCAUUUAUCCCUGCUAACACACAACGUACCAGAUAUGUCAUUUAUUAUUUGGUAAUUUCAUGAUUUACUGACAAUGUAACUGCAACGUCAUGGGCCCAUAAUUUUACUACCAUUAAGUUUCAUUACCAUUAUAUGACUAAUUGACAACGUCGUCUUUACAUCCUCCAAAUGUCCGAAGCUUACCCAGAAUGAUCCAGUUAUGUAAUAUUUUCAUAAUAUUUGGUAAUUCUGUGACUUAUUGGCAACGUAACUGCAACGUCAUAGGUCUGUAAUUAAUUACCACUUCACCUUCCAUUUCCACUUUUUUUACGUUCUCCUAUGUGAUCCAAUAAAACAAAACAACAUAGUCUGAGUCCAGUUGCAACACAGGAAAAACAUACUGUAAUAUAGUAACAGCACGCACCUCCACCUGAACGCUUGCGUGCGCAUCAUCUGAAAUAAUCAUCAUCAAGCGUUUGUUUUUCUAAGGUGGGUCAACACUCCAAGCGUCUCCUUGAUGGCCUGCUUGACAGACGCUCACUGGAGCUGAGAAUGGUGGCUGUUCACUCCAAGCAUGUCCUUGCUCUUCUGCCUGAAUUAAGCCUACUGGGGCAACUGGAGCUGAUAAAGAUGUCUGUGAUCUCACACUGGAUUCAAACACAGCACACACUGGUCUCAUUCUGUCUGAGGGGAACAGGAAGGUGACACAUGUGAGAGAGCAUCAGUCAUAUCCUGAUCAUCCAGAGAGAUUUGACUGGUAUCAUCAGGUUCUGUGUAGAGAGAGUCUGACUGGACGCUGUUACUGGGAGACUCAAUGGAGUGAGACAGGUGCUGUUAUGUCAGUGUCAUAUAAAGGAAUCAGCAGGAAAGGAAAGAUUCAAUGUAAACUCCUUGAAUCUGAGGUGCUCUGAUGACACAUUCACUGUCCUUCACAAUAAUAACAGCACUGACAUACGUCGCCCUUCACACCACUGUAAGAGAGUAGGAGUAGUGGCACUCUGUCCCUCUGACACACACACACUCACACACUUACACACACUCAUCACCACAUUCACUCAACCCCUCUAUGCUGGAUUUAGAGUUUAUCCUGAUUCCUCAGUGUGUCUGUGUGAAAUUGAACAUCAGAAACACACACAACUGGAUGAGUGAAAUAUACUCACUGUAUCUCACAUCAACACAACUCCAAACUCUUUCUAGAAAUCAUUUCAGGGUUUCUGCAGGUCUUAACUCUUAAGUCGCUCUUCCACAAAUUAAGACAUUAAAAGCUGGUAGGCUCACUGAUUUAUUUCAAACUACAUUUAAUAUCCUCAUUUUCCUUCUCGAUAUUGUCUUUGGUAUCAUCUGAAGAGAUUGAUUUGAUGAUAUUUUCAUUCUAGUCUUUCAUUAAAUCAGCUGAAAUUUAUCUGGUUACCAUGGAAAUGACGUCAUGCGCUCUCUGUCAUCCUGUCAGUCAGCACAAGUAGAAAUGCACCAAUAAAAAUGAGUUUUCAACAUCGAGCUGAAAGUAGCCGAUCCAUUACUUCGUGCAACACGUCCAGAUAGCACACAUACAUCGUGGAGACGUCUGUGAAAGAGCGGAUCAUCUGGAAAUGAUCACAUUCUGUUUUUAUGGUCUUAUUUUGAUUGUCUGUAGAUCUCGUUUAAUGGCUGUUUUUAGUUGUUAAAUGAGCCAUCUGUUCUACCUCUAAACGACGUCUAUUCGAUGAAGUUGACAUCAGUCUUGAAAUCCAGUUUUGUGGCUGCCACACAAGCAGCACACAGACCAGCAAUCGAUUGUGACCUCCGUGCUAAACUUCAGCAACUGUAUACGAGUUAUCAAUUUAUUUUAAACGAAAAUGUAUAAAAACAUAUAUCAGCUGCGUAAAAACAUAUAUCAACUGCAUACAUGAUUAAAAAAGCAUGGAUCAUCUGUUCACAGUUCAUUGGCUGUGCAUUUUUGCCACAUGCUUGUUUUUAUUAUUAUUAUUAUUAUUAUUAUUAUUACCAAUCUGGAAAGCAUUGAAUAAAAACCAUCAUAUUCUGGUGA